RNAcentral lists this ribosomal RNA (329 nucleotides) under uncultured eukaryote. Its description in RNAcentral is "partial 18S ribosomal RNA". It matches the Rfam family "Eukaryotic small subunit ribosomal RNA", at positions 1470 to 1796 of the family's 1831-position model. The record is from RNAcentral.
CCCUUAGAUGUUCUGGGCCGCACGCGCGCUACACUGACAGAGCCAACGAGUUUAUCACCUUGGCCGAAAGGUCCGGGUAAUCUUGUUAAACUCUGUCGUGCUGGGGAUAGAGCAUUGCAAUUAUUGCUCUUCAACGAGGAAUGCCUAGUAAGCGCGUGUCAUCAGCAUGCGUUGAUUACGUCCCUGCCCUUUGUACACACCGCCCGUCGCUACUACCGAUUGAAUGGCUCAGUGAGGCCUCCGGACUGGCUUAGGGAGGUUGGCAACGACCACCCCGAGCCGAGAAGCUGGUCAAACUCGGUCAUUUAGAGGAAGUAAAAGUCGUAACA